RNAcentral lists this ribosomal RNA (226 nucleotides) under uncultured bacterium. RNAcentral describes it as "partial 16S ribosomal RNA". It matches the Rfam family "Bacterial small subunit ribosomal RNA", at positions 538 to 762 of the family's 1533-position model. The record is from RNAcentral.
GCGUUGUCCGGAUUUAUUGGGCGUAAAGAGCUUGUAGGCGGUUCGGUAAGUCGGGUGUGAAAGCUCUGGGCUCAACCCAGAGAUGCCACCUGAUACUGCUGUGACUUGAGUCUGGUAGGGGAGCACGGAAUUCCUGGUGUAGCGGUGAAAUGCACAGAUAUCAGGAGGAACACCGGUGGCGAAGGCGGUGCUCUGGGCCAGUACUGACGCUGAGAAGCGAAAGCGU